RNAcentral lists this long non-coding RNA (2078 nucleotides) under Gouania willdenowi (blunt-snouted clingfish). RNAcentral's name for it is "lncRNA (ENSGWIG00000002477.1)". The record is from RNAcentral. Lineage: Eukaryota; Metazoa; Chordata; Actinopteri; Blenniiformes; Gobiesocidae.
UAGAGAGAGAGAGAGAGAGAGAGAGAGAGAGAGAGAGAGAGAGAGAGAGAGAGAGAGAGAGAGAGAGAGAGGACACAUGUUGGAAUGAAUCGGUCUCUGAUCGCACAGGAAGGCUCACCUCUCUGACCGUGAAUGCAGACAUGAUGAGUGAACGUUCAUCUGAGUAGAAGACUCUACUGUAGAUCUGCAGCUCCGUGCAUUGACUCUGUGCAUUGACUCUGUGCACUGAGCGGGAUCUUCGCCUCACUUCCUCCCGCAGACAUGAGCUCUCUGCAAGGAGAGAAGGCAGCAGGAGUCGGUUCGGAGGACCAGUACCGCGCCUUGGCCUGUGACACUGCGCUCAGCACGCUGGUGGCCGUGGUUCUCUACGUGCUGCUCAAAGUCAGCCUGGACGGCUUCAGGCAGUGGAGAGCACGGAUCUCGGUGCUCAUCGUGGGAUCGGGACCGGUGGGACUGACGGCCGCCCUGGUCGCUGUCCGCUCCGGGAAGGUGCUGAGGCUCACCGUGGUGGACGAGCGUUACCGGAGCGCGCUGCUCUGUCGGCCCCAGCAGAUCGCUCUGGAUCCCCGUAGCGUAAAGUUCCUGCUGGGACUGGGGGUGGACUUUGAUAACAUGGAGGGCUGCUGGCACAACGAGCACUUCUUCACCAGGAUAGGAGUGUUCCAGGAGUACCUGCUGAGCAUCCUGGAGAAGAAGAAGCAGAGUGUGGACGUCCAAGUCCAGCUCGGUACCAAGUUCACAGACGAAUACCUGCGGCGGGUUCAACAAAGCGAGGGGCCUCGUAUCAUCGUGGUCGCUGACGGCUCGUGUGGGGACUCGUGCUCCGUGUUGGGAAUCAGCUCUGACUACACAGUGGAGUCCUGCCACGCCUUCGGAGCUAACGCUUCCAUAGAGAGACUGGACCAGAGGCAGGUUCCGACCCCUGAGAUCCGAGCCCACAGCCUGUACUUUGACCUGUCUGCUUACGGAGUGGAGGCCCUGCGUGAGCAUCGAAACCCAGCAGCUAAAUCAGGAUUUCACCUGAAGAUUUACGGCACCUUCAGAAACCGUUACAUGGCUCUGGUCUGCCCCUCCUCCGACACCAGGAUGGUUCGCUUCCUGCGGCACACGGCCAACUCCUCCAUAAUGAAGAACAUCUUCCACCAGUCCUUUAACGCCUACAAGACGGACAUCGAGCCUCGUCUCAGCGACGUCACCCACCACCACAUGCAGUGCAGUCGGCGUCUCUUUGAGGUCCAGCUGUCACACAAACGCGUCAGCGCCGCAUACAUCGAGGGCGACAACGUGGCGGUCACCGUGGAGGGCGAGGCAGCUCGAGUGCUCAAUUUUGACACAGGACUUUGAUGUGAACCUGGGCCUACCGUGGUAUGGAGUCCCAUGCGGAGGUUUAUUUUACCGCACUGCUACAGCUGUGGACCAGGCCGAUGUGAUGGAGGCUCUGUCCGAUAAAAUGCAGCACUCCAGACACGUGGCCCAGUGCUUCAAACAAACAGGUCUGACUGAGUCCAUGUUCCAGUGAAUCAAUGUGGAGACACAUGUUUAAUGUGUUCUACCAGAGGAUGAGGAGAAGGAAUGAGCUUUGCUUGGAUAAAGGACGUGUUCUUUGGCCUCUUUAAUUGUGAUUCACUAAUGACUUAAAAUCAUUUCAUUUGUUGCACCUGUAUUUGUAUUUGUAGUGGAGAGUUAGACUCAUUUUACCUCAGGGGUCACAUGCAGUGCAAUUUGAUCCUAAACGUAAAAUAACGAUCCGUUAAUAAUUAGAACUCAAAGAUUAUUAAUACAUUAGGAUAGUUACAUGUUAAAAAACUAUCAUUUUACUUCACGUCAUAAAAAAAAAUCCUAAUAUUUUAAAAUAACUGUAAUUUCAACAAUAAUACGCCUCAGUUUAAUCACAAGUGCAUUAAAGCUGACGGACGUCAGGAUUUUUUUAAAACUCAUUUAAACAUAUUUACCCUCACUGUUACUGAAAUAUUCCAAAAAAAUCACUCCAAAAACACACAAAAAAAAAAAAAAAAAACACAAAAUCACAGAAGAAAACACAGAAUAAACAAGAAAAAUAUACAAAAUGACUGGAAAAA